RNAcentral lists this ribosomal RNA (453 nucleotides) under uncultured Actinomycetes bacterium. Its description in RNAcentral is "bacterial SSU rRNA". It matches the Rfam family "Bacterial small subunit ribosomal RNA", at positions 229 to 694 of the family's 1533-position model. The record is from RNAcentral. Lineage: Bacteria; Bacillati; Actinomycetota; Actinomycetes.
AUUCGCGGCCUAUCAGCUUGUUGGUGAGGUAAUGGCUCACCAAGGCGACGACGGGUAGCCGGCCUGAGAGGGUGACCGGCCACACUGGGACUGAGACACGGCCCAGACUCCUACGGGAGGCAGCAGUGGGGAAUAUUGCACAAUGGGCGAAAGCCUGAUGCAGCAACGCCGCGUGAGGGAUGACGGCCUUCGGGUUGUAAAUCUCUUUUAGUAGGGAAGAAGCGUAAGUGACGGUACCUGCAGAAAAAGCACCGGCUAACUACGUGCCAGCAGCCGCGGUAAUACGUAGGGUGCAAGCGUUGUCCGGAAUUAUUGGGCGUAAAGAGCUCGUAGGCGGUUUGUCGCGUCUGCUGUGAAAUCCCGAGGCUCAACCUCGGGCUUGCAGUGGGUACGGGCAGACUAGAGUGCGGUAGGGGAGAUUGGAAUUCCUGGUGUAGCGGUGGAAUGCGCAGA